CUGCUGGGUGCUCGCCCGGCUCCGGAGGAAGGGAGAGCAGAAUCUUUAAUAUCUCUCAGCUCCACUCGCCCCAACUCCAAACCUGCUGGAACUCUGCAGUGACACAGAAAGGAGCUGCUUUCAUUAGCCUCUCACAUUGUCAUAACGAAGUGCUGCUGAUUCACAAGCAUAAUUACAUUGUUCUUUCAGCCUUUUGCGUGGCAGGGAGAGAACAGAGAGCAGAGCUGCUCCUGGAGACGCCUGGAAUAACCUCCCUGCUCCAGGGGGCUGCUUUGAAUCCUCGGCCUGUCCCCUGGGGACAAGGUGGCACCUGCCAGGGCACACAGCAUGUGCUGCCUGAUCCCAGCUCAGCCCUGGAUAUAAAAACUUCUUCCCUACCACACUCAGUGCUGCCAUUCCGCAGGGAGCAGACGUGGGCUGGUCCCUGCUGGAGCAGGCUGGUGCCUGUUCCCAGCCAGAGCAAAAAAGGUCACUCAGCACCAGCAGAUUUAGGGGCCAGCAAGUGCAAAUCCUGCAUUUGUUUAGGUCCUGCACGUUACCUCCAGCUGCAUUCACAUCCUGGGAGGAACAGAGGUUGGAGGGAUGUGACUCAAAGACAGCUGAGCAGGACUAAUUUUGGAAGCUGUUUGCUCUCCUCUGUGGAUGUCCCAGCAAAGGGGAUGCAGAGCAUCCACAGGAACUGCUGGAGGCCAAAGCAGAUAAAGAGUAAAGAAAAAGUGCUUUCUAAAGGACUUACCAAGACCACACACUCUUGGCUCCCUGGUGCAGAGCUUUCCAUAUUUUCCUUGGAAUGAGCAGCUUUUCUUCUUCCAGUUCCAUGUGGGAUAGAGGUUGGGUUGGUCUGAAACAGCACCCACAGCUGAUAAAAGAAGAGAGAAAUGCUUCUGUGUGUUGGCUCCCCAAACAACAGGGACAACACUGGUAGCUCCAGGUAAUCAUGGAAUCCUAAAAUCCUGGGAUGGUUUGGGUUGGAAGGACCUCAAAUCCCACCCAGUGCCACCCCUGCCAUGGGCAGGGACACCUCCCACUGUCCCAGGUGCUCCAGCCUGGCCUUGGGCACUUCCAGGGAUCCAGGGGCAGCCACAACUCCUCAGGGAAUUCCAUCCCAGCCCCGCC
RNAcentral lists this long non-coding RNA (1116 nucleotides) under Lonchura striata (white-rumped munia). RNAcentral describes it as "domestica (Bengalese finch) lncRNA (ENSLSDG00000008721.1)". Lineage: Eukaryota; Metazoa; Chordata; Aves; Passeriformes; Estrildidae. The record is from RNAcentral.